GAUGAAGAACGUAGCGAAAUGCGAUAAGUAGUGUGAACUGCAGAAUUCAGUGAAUCAUCGAAUCUUUGAACGCACAUUGCGCCCCUUGGUAUCCCGAGGGGCAUGCCUGUUCGAGCGUCAUUUCACCACUCAAGCCUGGCUUGGUGUUGGGCGACGUCCUCUUUGGGGACGCGCCUCGAAACGCUCGGCGGCGUGGCACCGGCUUUAAGCGUAGCAGAAUCUUUCGCUUUGGAAGUCGGGGCCCCGUCUGCCGGAAGACCUGCUCGCAAGGUUGACCUCGGAUCAGGCAGGGAUACCCGCUGAACUUAAGCAUAUCAAUAAGCGGAGGA
This 329-nucleotide unclassified non-coding RNA is filed under the name soil metagenome. RNAcentral's name for it is "partial contains 5.8S ribosomal RNA, internal transcribed spacer 2, and large subunit ribosomal RNA". The stretch from base 1 to 120 matches the Rfam family "5.8S ribosomal RNA", at positions 35 to 154 of the family's 154-position model. The record is from RNAcentral.